UCUGAAAAUCAAAUUAAUAUUUCACUGUCUUUUAUAUAUAUUACUCAUAAUAUAUGUCAUCUCCCACUCUACUUUGUCAGAGCCUGGGAUAACAUCAGCUCCAUUUCUUCCUGAAGAGUUACCAUCAGUGGAAGCACAGAGAGACACUGUCCCUGAUGAAGCUCUGCCAAGUCCAGCACCAUCUGUCCCUUUAGAUGUGCCACACCAGCCUGCAGCCUCUGUCCCUGGCUAUGCUCAGGAUGUAGCGCAGUGGAACUGCUCCCACCAGCAGAAAAUUUGGAUGAAGACUGAGCUGGAGGCGUUGGGGCUGUGGCCGGGGUCACGUCCUGUUCGUCAUCCUAUGAACAUGCUGUCCUUGUGGCGUAAUCCACCUCAGCCUGAGCUCAUAGACUCAAUCUCUGAGCUGCCAUCACCUAAAUACUGUCAGCUUCAUCCUUUUUUCAUUUGGAAGCCGGAGCACACAAUCAUGGAGAGGGUAAGGAACAAUUACAUCUUGCCCUGCCUUCAUGAUUGUCCCAACCCUCAGGUAGCUUCUUCUGGCGUUGGAAGGCCAAGAGUUAUAAUUGGCACCAGCGGCCAGUACUAUAUUUUAGCCUCACGGCUCACCUGCAAGGCCUGUAGGACGUACUGGCAUGCUGACAAGCCCCAGUGGCUGGAGAAGCUACCAGAGCGCUUCAGCAACAUUGUUCCGGCUUUCCUAACUCACAAAAAGGCCAUCUGCAAAUCAGUAAUGGAUGAGAUGAGGUGCAGAGAAAGCCCACCUGGCCUACCUGCUCAGUGUGCAGAACGUCAGGGAUGCUGAGGCAGGAGUUUACAGCCAGCGAACCAUCACUGGGCUUCUCAGACAGGCAGACACUCCGGCUCCAUUCGGUGGCUACUCCGAUGCUGACGGCUGGUGUGGAGUGUCUAUUUCUUCUCACUACCUGGUCGACUGCCUGGUCCGUGAGUUUCAACGGCAGGAGCAGCUCCUCACUCUGUUGCUACAGGGGACCUUUGGACAAGUACUCAGGUCAGAUCACACACGCAAAGUGGCUAGGAAGGUGGUGCUGUCAUCCGGCACAAUGUCUUCCUAUGCCAUAAUGAAUGAGAACUGGAUGAUCUUGAGCUGGGUGAUGCUGCAGUCGGAGUGCGAUCGGUCCCUCUAUCCUCUGUAUGAGGGGCUGUCUCGGCGCUACACUGCAGCUGGAGUGAGGAAGGCAAGCUACCACUGGGUUGACAGGGACUGCUGUGCUGCCUUCAAGGUCCUGGACCCUGGUCAUCAGGAGCAGCUGCUGUGGGACUGCUGGAGGACAUCAGAGGCC
Molecule: long non-coding RNA, 1301 nt
Organism: Perca flavescens (yellow perch)
Lineage: Eukaryota; Metazoa; Chordata; Actinopteri; Perciformes; Percidae
Exons: 4
Source: RefSeq, a predicted model, not a curated record